Non-coding RNA from Meleagris gallopavo (turkey), 1004 nucleotides. The record is from RefSeq and is a predicted model, not a curated record. Lineage: Eukaryota; Metazoa; Chordata; Aves; Galliformes; Phasianidae.
AAACUAAGCAAGCUUGUACAGUGCCUCCACUGGUUCUAGGAGGGAUUGCCCACCUUAUUCUUUUUGUUUGUCCACUUCUUUUUCACUGCUUGUACAUCAGACCUCAUUCUGCUUUCAGUUUUCAUUCUGCUUUCCAAUCUUCCAGGUUUGAAUAGUUUAGCAUUAAGGACAUACACUGUAAUUAAAAGGCACCACGUAUUUACCAGGGAUUACAUGAGUCUUGAUCAUCUUUCAAGCCAUGAGAACCCUCAUGAAGAAAAAUGUUUCUGGGUCCUACUUUGGGAGAAACUCUUGUAGUUUCACAUUAGCAAUCCAAAUUGUUUCUGCUACACGAGGCUAAUGGAAGAACCUGACCGUUUUUUAGCACCAUUAUGAAAACAUUAACUGAACUCACUUCCAGAACCUCCCUCUCUGUGGCAGGGUUGCACUGAGAUAUGUUGUGAAUAAACAAGAAAAGCAAGAAUUCCAGGAGUUGUGGCUUGCACUUACCUGUGAAUCAUUUGCACCACCUGGGCUUUGAACAGCUGGUCCCAGCCUGCAUCUGCAACACUGCUGCACAGAAGCCGAUCUCCAGCACAGAAGCUUAAUGGGUGCAAGUGCUGGCAGAGAGAGACACCAGAUUGUGACACAUACUCCUCAGUCCAAGAAAUACUUCAGCAAGAACAGCUGAACCACCAAUUCAGGCAACAGGAACAUUAAUCCCCAGCAGAAAGAAGACUGGAUAUGUAACCCAGAAGGUAAAUCUCUUUAAGAACAGACCUUGCCCUACACAUUUCUUUCAGAGUCUUUUUUUGUUCCUUUUCGGGUGGAUCUCUAAUAGCCUUGUGUCACCACAGAAUCUCUCAUCAGAGCAUGCUGACCUGUCUUGCCACUUUGUGCUGGAGCCAAUAAAUAGCAAAGCCAACCUCGGAAGCACAUUUUCAGAGCGGUACUGAUUCACCUACAUUUUGCAUGCUGACAAAACCCCAGUCCUUCACAUAAGCACAGCUUCAUUUGUAUGAUUA